RNAcentral lists this long non-coding RNA (883 nucleotides) under Homo sapiens (human). Its description in RNAcentral is "non-protein coding lnc-PTPN21-3:1". The record is from RNAcentral. Lineage: Eukaryota; Metazoa; Chordata; Mammalia; Primates; Hominidae.
CUUCUACCCGCGAAACCUGUGCUCAGGCAAGGAGGGCGGCGGCGUGCGCGUGCGGGUGGUCUUGCAGCUCCGCCUCCCGGGCACCUCGGGGACCUUUCGUUAGUCUCUCUGCUGGCCCUCCGCUUAUUCAUUUUAUUCUCUCUUGGAUGGUAAGAAUGAAUUAAAUGUGUAGCAGAAAGAUCUUGGGCUGUGAUAUGAGACGCGAGUUCAAAUCCAGCCCUCACUUACUGUCAGUAUGGUAUCGGUCCAGGUAUUUCAACUUUUCUUACCUGUAAAAUGGAGUCUGCCCAUUAGAGGUUGCAGUGAGCCAAGAUCAUGCCACUACAGCCUUGAUGAGAGAGUGAGACCCUGUCUCAGGAAAAAAAAAAAUAAUUCAUUUCCUUGUGGCUUUAUGAGUAAGGACCCAGAUUUUUUUCUGGCUAUCAUCUGGAAGCCACUCUCAAGUCCUAGAGGCUGCCCACAGUUCUUUGCCAAAGGGUUCACUAACAUGUCUGUUCACUUACGCCAGUAAAAGCCAGGCACAGUGGCUCAUGCCUGUAAUUUCAGCUCAGUGAAGUAGAGGUGGGAGGAUCACUUGAGACCAGAAGUUUGAGACCAGCCAAGGGCUUUCAUUUAAUUAAGUUAGGCCCACCCAGGACCUGACCCCAAAAUCAGCUGAUUCACGACCUCAAUUACAUCUGCCAAACCUCUUAUUUUUGCCAUGUUUAUUACCUAAGCAAUCCACACUAGGGGUCAGGAGUGGGUUGUGGGGACAGCAGAAGCAGGAGUUGUGGGGCUACCUAGGGUCUGUCACGUGGUCCUUUAAUAAUCUCAUAUAAUCCUUUCUUGUGAAUUCCUAUGGCAUCUAUAUGGAAGCUAUUAGUAUAAUAAUAUAUUCUGUGCA